RNAcentral lists this ribosomal RNA (306 nucleotides) under uncultured bacterium. Its description in RNAcentral is "bacterial SSU rRNA". It matches the Rfam family "Bacterial small subunit ribosomal RNA", at positions 28 to 334 of the family's 1533-position model. The record is from RNAcentral.
GACGAACGCUGGCGGCAUGCCUAACACAUGCAAGUCGAACGGAGCAGUUCCUUCGGGGGCUGCUUAGUGGCGGACGGGCGAGUAACGCGUGAGCAACCUGCCUUUCAGGGGGGAUAACGACCGGAAACAGUCGCUAAUACCGCAUAACAUAAUCUGAUCGCAUGAUCGGGUUAUCAAAGGAGCAAUCCGCUGAGAGAUGGGCUCGCGUCCGAUUAGCUAGUUGGUGGGGUAACGGCCCACCAAGGCGACGAUCGGUAGCCGAACUGAGAGGUUGAUCGGCCGCAUUGGGACUGAGACACGGCCCAG